Molecule: long non-coding RNA, 2620 nt
Filed under: Homo sapiens (human)
Lineage: Eukaryota; Metazoa; Chordata; Mammalia; Primates; Hominidae
Description: HSALNT0351596
Source: RNAcentral
UCCACUUGCCUCGGCCUCCCACAGUGUUGGGAUUACAGGCGUGAGUCACCAUGCCUGGCCAAGAAAAGUUCUUUUAAGUAUGUAAAUGAUUCAAUUUGGAUGAAGGUGAAUAGCCCUAUUCAGCCAACUGAGGCAGGCAGACUGAAGUGAAAAUAAAUAAGGAGAACUUAGCAUUUCCUUGUUUGACUUUUAAUGGAAUAAUGUCAUUGCCAGGCAUGGACUCAAACAAAGUAGGCACUUGGUUAAUAUGUAUUGAAUGAAAGAAAUGAGCAGGUAGGCUUUUAGGAAGUGGAUCUUUUGACUGACUCCCAAAUGCUGGUCAUUGCAUUUCUAGAACAAAGGCCACAUUUUAGAAACAACUGGGGAGUCUUUUUCAUGGACACAUGCCCAGCCCCAUUAGAGCAUCCUGGCAGGGUGUCCAGCCGUGUAUGUUUUGAAGCUCCUGUGGUUCAGACACAACCUGUUACACAACUACCACCUUGUUAUCUCUGUGGUCCUGGCCUGUGCUGAUGCUGUGAUAUUUUCACCCUGAAAUGAAGAGUCAUCCCAACAUCAAGGUCAGUAAACCAAUUCCUGUCCUUAAAAUGGAUUCAUUAUUAUUUGAAUUUCAAACAACAGACCAACCAUAGCUCAAUGUUUCUCAAGAGUAUCCUGUGGAGCACAGUGCGUGAACGCCCAGAAGAAAGCAGUCUGUGGUCAGGUGGGUUUCUGUGCCAUUUGCUGCCACCUUCCCUGCAAACAGUGAUUUACAGCACACAUUGUUCUUGUGUCUGUUCUGCAGUGAUAAAACCCAUUUAACUCAGUGGUUCCCAAAUGUACUGACCGUGGAACUGUUUUACUCAGGGGACACUGUUAACAUCCUGUAGAAGCACAGUAGCAGGUAUCCAGCCUGCAUACGAUAAGACAACCAGAACCAAAUUUGGCAGGUACAUGUCUGGAACUCUGUUUCAUUAUGCCGUAAAAUAAAACUACGAAUUUCAUUCAACAAAUCUGUACUGAAUAAGUAGGCUUCACUCUUGGGAUGUCAACUUUUAAAACUUACUUAAUAUCAGCUAUCGUUAUAUAAUCUUUGUUCAUAAUGACGCUGUCUGGUUGAACACAAACUGGCUGGGUGUUAAAUUCCACUUGUGUUUAUGAUAUUUAAUAAUGUCCUAAGAAGGCAGCCAGUAGAACCUUGGCUACUGUUUUUCAAAAGUGGCUCUGCAUUGCUCCUACAUAACCCCGUACAUUACUCCACAGUCCUGUUAGAGCCCUGAAAGGGAAACUGCUAAAAAUAAGGUUCUUCAUUUAGGUGACUAGGAACUCCCAAUAUUUUUGCCCUAGGGAAUACUGGGAGACAAAUCUCUACGAUCACAAAUUACUAAUGGUUUCCCCAGAACUGCUGGUGGCCAUAUCCCCUGGCAUGUGGAAGGGCCCAGAAGAGGCCACUCUACUGCAGAGGCCAACAGAAGAGUGUUGCCCAGGCUGGUCUCAAACUUCUGGGCUCAAGCAACCCUCCAGCCUCGGCCUCCCAAAGUGUUGGGAUCAUAGGCAUGAGACACCGUGCCUGGCGAAGAUAUUUUUACCGAAAAGGACAGAGGGUGUACUUGGAGGCACAUACCAAAGAAAUGCCAUGUGAGAACAAGCAAGAAGGUGGCCAUCUGUAAACCAGGAAGAGUGUCCUCACCAGAAAAUGAAGUGGCUUCAACUUUGAUCUCAGAAUUCCAGCCUCCAUAACUGUGAGAAAAUACAUUUCUGUUCUUUCAGCCAGUCUAUGGCAUUACAUUAUAGCAACCCAAGCAAACUAAGGCAUGCCCAGAAAUGACUACAGGGGUAAAAAUGAGCAGAUAAUUGGUUUUUAGUGUCCUGAAGUUUAUCUGCUUUUCCUUAUGUACUUAUAUCGUUGCCACUGCCACCAGGCUACUCUUCCUUCUUGUCUGCUCCCAAACAGGGAAGAGCGAGCAUAAUGGUUCCUAAACAUUUCCGUUAUACCCGUACAGUUCUGAUAGAGUUGUAAAAAUGGGAGAAUAUGAAGGUUAUUCAGGCUUCCCAAUGAUAUGGUGUGAGAUUCACUCUGUACUAAAUAUCCCAAAACUCUAGCCACAAACACAGCAAAACUCAAAGUCAACAAGUUUUCACUGAAAAUAGAUUUCAUUUCAUUCAAAUUAGAAAUGUGUUCUCCCAAACCGCCUCCCAACAAAGGUCUCUGCUUGAUAAAUGAAAAGAUAGUAAAAGAAAACUUCACAUUUCUUUUUAUGUGGAUCUAUCAAAAGGUACAUAAUCAAAACAACUUUAACACCCGACCUAUCCAUGAGGAGUCUGGAUGAUUCACUCUGAAGGAAAAGGGGAGAGAAGAGAGAAUCACUGCUCUGAUUUGAAGUGUGCAAAGUUCUUAUCUAUGUCACUUAACACUGGUAUAAUUAAUACAGAAAGGAAAAUGACCCUCAAGAGGAAGGUUUCAUUGAGCAGAGCGUAAGAGGAACAAUAAGAGGGUAGGAGACACCUCCUGAGAAGGUUUGCUUGUGUUCAGCUGAAGAUUAAUAGGAAACAGUGAAAAAGCAACGUCCUGUGAUCAGUAACUUUAAAGACAAGCUUGGUUCUCUCUUUCUGGCACUACUGACAUUCCCACCAUUCUAGCUUC